RNAcentral lists this ribosomal RNA (792 nucleotides) under uncultured bacterium. Its description in RNAcentral is "bacterial SSU rRNA". It matches the Rfam family "Bacterial small subunit ribosomal RNA", at positions 25 to 809 of the family's 1533-position model. The record is from RNAcentral.
CAGGAUGAACGCUAGCGACAGGCUUAACACAUGCAAGUCGAGGGGCAGCGGGGUAGUGCUUGCACUACUGCCGGCGACCGGCGCACGGGUGAGUAACACGUAUGGAACCUGCCCGCAGCAGGGGGAUAAGCGGAAGAAAUUCCGUCUAAUACCGCGUAACAACGUUGGGAGGCAUCUCCCGAUGUUUAAAGAUUUAUCGGCUGCGGAUGGCCAUGCGGCGCAUUAGCUAGUCGGCGGGGUAACGGCCCACCGAGGCGACGAUGCGUAGGGGUUCUGAGAGGAAGGUCCCCCACACUGGUACUGAGACACGGACCAGACUCCUACGGGAGGCAGCAGUGAGGAAUAUUGGUCAAUGGCCGAGAGGCUGAACCAGCCAAGUCGCGUGAGGGAAGACGGCCCUACGGGUUGUAAACCUCUUUUGUCGGGGAGCAAAGCGAACCACGUGUGGUUCAUUGAGAGUACCCGAAGAAAAAGCAUCGGCUAACUCCGUGCCAGCAGCCGCGGUAAUACGGAGGAUGCGAGCGUUAUCCGGAUUUAUUGGGUUUAAAGGGUGCGCAGGCGGAGGUGCAAGUCAGCGGUCAAAUUGCGGGGCUCAACCCCGUACUGCCGUUGAAACUGCAUCCCUUGAGUGCGCGAGAAGUAUGCGGAAUGCGUGGUGUAGCGGUGAAAUGCAUAGAUAUCACGCAGAACUCCGAUUGCGAAGGCAGCAUACCGGCGCGCAACUGACGCUCAUGCACGAAAGCGUGGGUAUCGAACAGGAUUAGAUACCCUGGUAGUCCACGCAGUAAACGA